GAGUUUGAUCUUGGCUCAGAUUGAACGCUGGCGGCAGGCCUAACACAUGCAAGUCGAGCGGAUGACGGGAGCUUGCUCCUUGAUUCAGCGGCGGACGGGUGAGUAAUGCCUAGGAAUCUGCCAGGUAGUGGGGGACAACGUUUCGAAAGGAACGCUAAUACCGCAUACGUCCUACGGGAGAAAGCAGGGGACCUUCGGGCCUUGCGCUAUCAGAUGAGCCUAGGUCGGAUUAGCUAGUUGGUGGGGUAAUGGCUCACCAAGGCGACGAUCCGUAACUGGUCUGAGAGGAUGAUCAGUCACACUGGAACUGAGACACGGUCCAGACUCCUACGGGAGGCAGCAGUGGGGAAUAUUGGACAAUGGGCGAAAGCCUGAUCCAGCCAUGCCGCGUGUGUGAAGAAGGUCUUCGGAUUGUAAAGCACUUUAAGUUGGGAGGAAGGGCAGUAAGUUAAUACCUUGCUGUUUUGACGUUACCGACAGAAUAAGCACCGGCUAACUCUGUGCCAGCAGCCG
Molecule: ribosomal RNA, 513 nt
Filed under: bacterium enrichment culture clone ALO1_GLFRUDD03F1UN8
Lineage: Bacteria
Description: bacterial SSU rRNA
Rfam family: Bacterial small subunit ribosomal RNA
Source: RNAcentral